RNAcentral lists this transfer RNA (72 nucleotides) under Nocardia ninae NBRC 108245. Its description in RNAcentral is "tRNA-Trp". It matches the Rfam family "tRNA". Rfam says of the family: Transfer RNA (tRNA) molecules are approximately 80 nucleotides in length. Their secondary structure includes four short double-helical elements and three loops (D, anti-codon, and T loops). Lineage: Bacteria; Bacillati; Actinomycetota; Actinomycetes; Mycobacteriales; Nocardiaceae. The record is from RNAcentral.
GCGGAUGUAGCUCAGUGGUAGAGCGGCGGUCUCCAAAACCGUUGGCGCGGGUUCGAUUCCUGCCAUUCGUGC